Molecule: long non-coding RNA, 1101 nt
Filed under: Canis lupus dingo (dingo)
Lineage: Eukaryota; Metazoa; Chordata; Mammalia; Carnivora; Canidae
Description: lncRNA (ENSCAFG00020005343.1)
Source: RNAcentral
AUGGGAGGGCGGGAAGGGCGUGAUCGACGGCCUCCCGCGCGCCGUCCCCAAGCCCCGCCCCGGCUGCGGAGGCCCGGUCGCCGCCCGCCGCCCGCCCUCCCCGGCCCUCCCCGGCCCUCCCCUCCCUGCCCCGCUCUCCUCUUCCCGUCUCGGGUGGCGGCCGGCCUCCGUCCUCGCCCGCGCCGUGUCGGUUCCAGCCCUGGCUCCCCGCUCCCGUCGGGCCCCGACGCCGGCCUGAGCGCUUCCGCUGCGGCUCCGGGUGGCCGAGCCGCCGCCGGCCCCUCCGGCCUCUCCGGCCCCUGCGGCCCCUGCGCCUCGUGCUGCCUCUGGGCCGCGGCCCCGUGCGCCCCCCGCCAUGAACGAGGAGUACGACGUGAUCGUGCUGGGCACCGGCCUGACGGUGAGCCCCGUGCGGCCGGCGCCGGCGGGGGGGCGAGGGGGGGGUUCCCGGGGGCGGGGAGGGGAUGCCCGGGGUGGGGCGGGCGGGGGUCCCCAGGGCCGGGGGGGGUUCCCCGGGGCGGGGGGUGCCCGGGGCGGGGGUGUCGGAGCCGGGGGCGGGAGUGUGGGCGCGCGCCCGCCGGCUCCGGGAGGACGGCCUCUCCCGCCUGGAAGCGGAAAAGCGGCGGGCGGUGGGGGAGGGGCGCGGGCAGGGGAGGGGGAGGGGCGCGCCCGCAGCUGCGUUUCCUGCUUGGACUCGGGCCGCCCUGCCCGUUGGGCUCCGGGGCCAGGUGUGUGACGGGCCUUCGGAUGAUCGCUGUCUGCAGCGGAUGCAGCUCGGCUAACUUGGAGAAAACUAGCCCCCCCCCCCCCGCCGAUGAGAAGCGUUAUACAGACCUUUUAACCACGCUCAUCCCACUUGCGGAGCAAUCGCAGGAUUGGGGGAGUGAGUGUUCUCAAAACUUGUGUACCCGACGCUUUGUCUCCCGAGCCCUGCCGUCUUCUCCUUUAGGUUUGGUCGGUGCCCUGCGUCCAUUGCCAGCCCUGGGGGCUCCCCCCGCCUUCCCCGAUAGAUGGGUGAUGGGAGGCUGGAGGUUGGAGGCCGGCCUUGGCCUCUCUCCCUCCGAGCGGCCCCACGCAGACACGUGCCUGGCUGGGAAGUAG